CGAACGGCUGGCGGCGUGCCUAACACAUGCAAGUCGAGCGGAGUCGAUCGACGGAAGCCUUCGGGCGGAAGAUGGUUGACUUAGCGGCGGAUGGGUGAGUAACGCGUGGGCAACCUGCCUCGAAGACCGGGAUAACAGCCCGAAAGGGCUGCUAAUACCGGAUGUGGUCAAGGAUCCGCAUGGAUUUUGAUUAAGGGAAACCCGUUUCGAGAUGGGCCCGCGUCCUAUCAGCUAGUUGGUGAGGUAAAAGCUCACCAAGGCGACGACGGGUAGCCGGCCUGAGAGGGUGACCGGCCACACUGGAACUGAGACACGGUCCAGACUCCUACGGGGGGCAGCAGUGGGGAAUCUUCCACAAUGGGCGAAAGCCUGAUGGAGCGACGCCGCGUGAGCGAAGAAGGCCUUCGGGUUGUAAAGCUCUGUCUGGAGGGACGAAGGAAGUGACGGUACCUCCGGAGGAAGCCACGGCUAACUACGUG
RNAcentral lists this ribosomal RNA (479 nucleotides) under uncultured bacterium. Its description in RNAcentral is "bacterial SSU rRNA". It matches the Rfam family "Bacterial small subunit ribosomal RNA", at positions 35 to 507 of the family's 1533-position model. The record is from RNAcentral.